Molecule: ribosomal RNA, 448 nt
Filed under: uncultured bacterium
Lineage: Bacteria
Description: bacterial SSU rRNA
Rfam family: Bacterial small subunit ribosomal RNA
Source: RNAcentral
CCAGACUCCUACGGGAGGCAGCAGUGGGGAAUAUUGCACAAUGGGCGAAAGCCUGAUGCAGCAACGCCGCGUGAAGGAAGACGGUUUUCGGAUUGUAAACUUCUGUUCUUAGUGAAGAAUAAUGACGGUAACUAAGGAGCAAGCCACGGCUAACUACGUGCCAGCAGCCGCGGUAAUACGUAGGUGGCAAGCGUUGUCCGGAAUUACUGGGUGUAAAGGGAGCGCAGGCGGUAUGGCAAGUCAGAUGUGAAAACCCAGGGCCCAACCCUGGGACUGCAUUUGAAACUGCCAUACUGGAGUGCCGGAGAGGUAAGUGGAAUUCCUAGUGUAGCGGUGAAAUGCGUAGAUAUUAGGAGGAACACCAGUGGCGAAGGCGGCUUACUGGACGGUAACUGACGCUGAGGCUCGAAAGCGUGGGGAGCAAACAGGAUUAGAUACCCCCGUAGCA